CUGGCGGCNUGCUUANNCAUGCAAGUCGAACGGUAACAGGAGAGAGCUUGCUCUCUUGCUGACGAGUGGCGGACGGGUGAGUAAUACAUGGGAAUCUGCCCUGAGGUGGGGGAUAACCCGGGGAAACUCGGGCUAAUACCGCAUGAUCUCUUCGGAGCAAAGUGGGGGACCUUCGGGCCUCACGCCUUGGGAUGAGCCCAUGUCUGAUUAGCUAGUUGGUGGGGUAAAGGCCUACCAAGGCAACGAUCAGUAGCCGGCCUGAGAGGGUGUACGGCCACACUGGGACUGAGACACGGCCCAGACUCCUACGGGAGGCAGCAGUGGGGAAUAUUGGACAAUGGGGGCAACCCUGAUCCAGCAAUGCCGCGUGUGUGAAGAAGGCCUGCGGGUUGUAAAGCACUUUUAUCGGGGAAGAAUAGGUUGUCGUUAAUAGCGCCAACACUUGACAUUACCCGUUGAAUAAGCACCGGCUAACUCCGUGCCAGCAGCCGCGGUAAUACGGAGGGGGUUAGCGUUGUUCGGAAUUACUGGGCGUAAAGCGCACGUAGGCGGACCAUUAAGUCAGGGGUGAAAUCCCGGGGGUNNACCCCCGAAANUGCCUUUGAUACUGGUGGGUCUGGAGUUCNAGAGAGGUGAGUGGAAUUCCGAGUGUAGAGGNGUNANAUUCGUAGAUAUUNNNGGAACACCAGUGGCGAANNNGCUCACUGGGCUCGAUACUGACNCUGAGGUGCNAAAGCNUGGGGAGCAAAC
RNAcentral lists this ribosomal RNA (750 nucleotides) under uncultured bacterium. Its description in RNAcentral is "partial 16S ribosomal RNA". It matches the Rfam family "Bacterial small subunit ribosomal RNA", at positions 36 to 773 of the family's 1533-position model. The record is from RNAcentral.